This 384-nucleotide ribosomal RNA is filed under the name uncultured eukaryote. RNAcentral's name for it is "SSU rRNA". It matches the Rfam family "Eukaryotic small subunit ribosomal RNA", at positions 587 to 972 of the family's 1831-position model. The record is from RNAcentral.
AGCUCCAAUAGCGUAUAUUAAAGUUGUUGCAGUUAAAAAGCUCGUAGUUGGAUUUCGGAAGGUCCUUAGUAAUCCGCCCCUUCGGGGAGCGGGUUGCUGGCCUCCUAUGUUCCUAACGGUCCUCAUCCGCGAGGGUGGGGAACUAAACCGCUAGGAUCGUUUACUUUGAGGAAAUUAGAGUGUUCAAAGCAGGCGUAACUCGCCUCCGAAUACGUUAGCAUGGGAUAAUGGAAUACGACUUCGGUCUUGUUUCGUUGGUUUCGCUUGGCUGAAGUAAUGAUUGAUAGGGACAGUUGGGGGCAUUAGUAUUUAGUUGUCAGAGGUGAAAUUCUAGGAUUUACUAAAGACUGACCAAUGCGAAAGCAUUUGCCAAGGAUGUUUUCA